UACAGAGGUCUCAAGCGUUGUUCGGAAUCACUGGGCGUAAAGGGUGCGUAGGUGGCGUGGUAAGUCAGAUGUGAAAGCCCGGGGCUCAACCUCGGAACUGCAUCCGAUACUGCCAUGCUAGAGAACUGAAGAGGAGUGUAGAAUUCUCGGUGUAGCAGUGAAAUGCGUAGAUAUCGAGAGGAAUACCAACGGCGAAGGCAGCACUCUGGGCAGUUUCUGACACUGAGGCACGAAGGCUAGGGGAGCAAACAGG
Molecule: ribosomal RNA, 253 nt
Filed under: uncultured bacterium
Lineage: Bacteria
Description: partial 16S ribosomal RNA
Rfam family: Bacterial small subunit ribosomal RNA
Source: RNAcentral